This is a long non-coding RNA of Homo sapiens (human), 960 nucleotides long. RefSeq lists it as uncharacterized. The transcript is spliced from 2 exons. The record is from RefSeq and is a predicted model, not a curated record. Lineage: Eukaryota; Metazoa; Chordata; Mammalia; Primates; Hominidae.
AUCCCUCACCUCCUCCUGCCAAGAUCACCCCAAGCAGAAACCAGUAGGCAUAAUAAUUAGUAUGUUUGUAUAUAUAUAUGUGUGUGUGUGUGUGUGUGUAUGUACUUUGCUGAUUAGAUAUUUUAUCAGAUAUCUUAUCUAUAUAAGGAAACAACAACAAAAGUGAAGCUGACAGUGCGUUGAGAGCCGGGCUUUAGCACACCACAGCUCUAUGUCUUAGGAUCCCUCCUCUCUGCCAGUGUGGCGCCCGCCUCCUACUCCCAUCCUCUGCCUCCAGUCUCCUCUGCCAGCCUGUCCUCCAUCCAAGCUCCCUAGGCAUCCUCUUCAAACUCUUUGCUGAUUGCUGUAAGGCAGUGGAGCAUGUGGUUAAGAUUCUGGGCUUCAGGUCAAGCUGAUUUGGGAUUUGAGGACAUUUGCUAACAGUGUGACCUUCGGCAAGUGACUGUGUCUCCCUAAGCCUCAGUUUUCUCAUCUGCAAAAUAGGGAUCAUAACAAACUCUACCUCACGGGGCUGACCCGAAGGGAUGAUGCAUAGCAGAACACAUGGCUCAGCUGGCCAGCCGGCAGGUCUUAGCAGGUCAUAGUGGCGGAAUGACCAGCCCACAAGUCUUAGCAGGUCGCAAUGGUGGAUGCAGGAUGUUUCUGCCUGACCAGCCUCCAUUCUCACUUCCGAACAGUUUCUGCCUGGAUAUGACAAAUGUCGACCUGGAGCUGUUGGGGCCAUCUGGGCAGAAAGGCUGUCCGGGAAUGAAGUCAAAGAGAUGGAAAAAGAGAAAAAGAGGCCGGCGUCUGGGGUCAUGGUUUGAGCCCCCGAAUCCAACUGUACCUGAAGCCCUGUCUGUUUCAGAAACAGAAGGCAAUAAAUUCAGCCUUUGCCUUAAGCCCGUCAAGCCAGUCUGGGGUGCCUCUUUUUUUUAAUCAACCAAACAAAUACUGGUUAAUAAAACUCCCUGCUCAAAA